AUGACUUUGAUCUGCGUCCUCAUCUGGACUCUCCUCUGCUGCUGCUUCACAGAGUCCAGAGGUCAGGUCACAGUGACUCAGCCUUCAGCAGUAAAUACCGGCUUUGGAGGCUCGGCCACCAUCAGCUGUAAAACCAGUCAAGCUGUAUACUAUGAUGGAUCAGACUAUUAUUUAGCAUGGUACCAAAAGAAGAACACAGAACCUCCUAAAAUGCUCAUUUACUGGAGAAAUCGCAGAGCAUCAGGGAUUCCAAAUCGUUUCACAGGAAGUGGAUCAAACUCAGACUUCACUCUGACCAUCAGUGGAGUUCAGGCUGAAGAUGCUGGAGUUUAUUACUGUCAGAGUUAUCAUAACAUAAACAGUCAGAGGGUGUUCACACAGUGA
This is a non-coding RNA of Xiphophorus maculatus (southern platyfish), 384 nucleotides long. NCBI's taxonomy places the organism in Eukaryota, Metazoa, Chordata, Actinopteri, Cyprinodontiformes, Poeciliidae. The record is from the annotation of a RefSeq genome assembly.